This 505-nucleotide ribosomal RNA is filed under the name uncultured bacterium. RNAcentral describes it as "partial 16S ribosomal RNA". It matches the Rfam family "Bacterial small subunit ribosomal RNA", at positions 29 to 523 of the family's 1533-position model. The record is from RNAcentral.
AACGAACGCUGGCGGCGUGCUUAACACAUGCAAGUCGAACGCGAACGGGUUCUUCGGGACCUUAGUAGAGUGGCGCACGGGUGAGUAACGCGUAAGUUAUCUACCUCGGCAUCUGGAAUAACUCACCGAAAGGUGUGCUAAUACCGGAUACGUUGAGUAAUCAAGAAAGGUGGCCUCUGAAUAUGCUACCGUGCUGAGAUGAGCUUGCGUACCAUUAGCUAGUUGGUAGGGUAAUGGCCUACCAAGGCGACGAUGGUUAGCGGGUCUGAGAGGAUGAUCCGCCACACUGGAACUGGAACACGGACCAGACUCCUACGGGAGGCAGCAGUGAGGAAUAUUGCGCAAUGGGGGCAACCCUGACGCAGCGACGCCGCGUGGAUGAUGAAGGCCUUCGGGUCGUAAAAUCCUGUCAGGUGGAAAGAAAUGUAUAUGUGCUAAUACCAUGUAUACUUGACGGUACCACCGAAGGAAGCACCGGCUAACUCCGUGCCAGCCGCCGCCGUAA